AAUUACUGCAUUCAUUGAUGGAGACCUAAUAGUGUGUUUAUUCGCCACUAACAUGACGGCUGGGCAGCAGGAUGCAUGCGUAGAGGUGACCAGUCAGAGCCCUGAACAGCAAAGGACCAUCAACUACUAUGUGAACGUAUCUCGGAUCGUAGGCCUCAGUUUCAUAUUGAUUAUGUCACUCCUAUGCGCUUGCUGGAAUUCAUACCAUAGGAAACCAUACUGUGACUCUCUGUUUGAAAAGUACAUUGAGGAACACAUCGAGGCCAUUCUGAAUGAUGAACAAAGUAAACUGGCAAAAGCAGAGGCUGAAAAACGAAUUGCGCUGCACAAAAGGAAGAUUCAGCCUCAUGGAAGGGAUGACUCACAAAUGGACUGCGGAGGAAUGCAGAACCUAUCAGACACAGAUUCUAACCCAACGCUCUCACCACAUUCUUCAAGGAGAAAUUCCGCAGAUCAAAUAGAACUUCCAAAUGUACGCACACCUUUACUGCAAGGCUGCGAAAAACUAAACUACCCCUCUGGAGCCCAGGGAACUCAGGAGAGCUCAUUUUAAAUUACAGAAAGUAAAAAUUUUACUGAAAAUUCAACAAUGUAUAGGAUCAAAGAAAUGCCUUAAUUUUAAAAA
Long non-coding RNA from Anguilla anguilla (European eel), 625 nucleotides. RefSeq lists it as uncharacterized. The transcript has 2 exons. Lineage: Eukaryota; Metazoa; Chordata; Actinopteri; Anguilliformes; Anguillidae. The record is from RefSeq and is a predicted model, not a curated record.